AGAUUUGAUCCUGGCUCAGGACGAACGCUGGCGGCGUGCUUAACACAUGCAAGUCGAACGGAAAGGCCCUUUCGGGGGUACUCGAGUGGCGAACGGGUGAGUAACACGUGGGUGAUCUGCCCUGCACUUCGGGAUAAGCUUGGGAAACUGGGUCUAAUACCGGAUAGGACUACGGCCUGCAUGGGUUGUGGUGGAAAGCUUUUGCGGUGUGGGAUGGGCCCGCGGCCUAUCAGCUUGUUGGUGGGGUGAUGGCCUACCAAGGCGUCGACGGGUAGCUGGUCUGAGAGGACGAUCAGCCACACUGGGACUGAGACACGGCCCAGACUCCUACGGGAGGCAGCAGUGGGGAAUCUUGCGCAAUGGGCGGAAGCCUGACGCAGCAACGCCGCGUGGAGGAUGAAAUCCCUUGGGAUGUAAACUCCUUUCGAUAGGGAAGAUAAUGACGGUACCUAUAGAAGAAGCCC
This 464-nucleotide ribosomal RNA is filed under the name uncultured bacterium. RNAcentral describes it as "bacterial SSU rRNA". It matches the Rfam family "Bacterial small subunit ribosomal RNA", at positions 9 to 493 of the family's 1533-position model. The record is from RNAcentral.